RNAcentral lists this transfer RNA (72 nucleotides) under Camelus bactrianus (Bactrian camel). It matches the Rfam family "tRNA". Rfam says of the family: Transfer RNA (tRNA) molecules are approximately 80 nucleotides in length. Their secondary structure includes four short double-helical elements and three loops (D, anti-codon, and T loops). Further hydrogen bonds mediate the characteristic L-shaped molecular structure. tRNAs have two regions of fundamental functional importance: the anti-codon, which is responsible for specific mRNA codon recognition, and the 3' end, to which the tRNAs corresponding amino acid is attached (by aminoacyl-tRNA synthetases). tRNAs cope with the degeneracy of the genetic code in two manners: having more than one tRNA (with a specific anti-codon) for a particular amino acid; and 'wobble' base-pairing, i.e. permitting non-standard base-pairing at the 3rd anti-codon position. RNAcentral also lists the same sequence under 1 other name. Lineage: Eukaryota; Metazoa; Chordata; Mammalia; Artiodactyla; Camelidae. The record is from Rfam by way of RNAcentral.
GAAGGUGUAACUCAAUGGUAGAAUGCGUACUUAGCAUGCACAGGGUCCUGGGUUCAAUCUCCAGUACCUCCA